GCUUGAAGCAGGUGGACUGGUUGUUACAAAAGCACUGUAUGGCAGUCAUAAAGCUCUGAAGAACAGAAAUCAAAUAGAGGAAGUGAAAGAUGAAGUGGCUUCUCAAAUCAUUGAUGUCACUCUACCUUUAAAUUUUCUUGUGAGCGACUCAGGGCAACUAAAGCUGCACGAGGGUGUAAAGAAAUCAGGAAUUAUGGGAUUUUGUGAUCCUUGUCCUGGAGAACCCAAGCAAUUGUAUGUGGAGUACACCUUUGAUGGUAACAACUUUGAGGUCAUUGUCGACGAUUUGGAUGAGUUGCUUAUACCCCAAGAAUCACACAGAAUUUGAUGACAAGUGAGCUGCUGAGUCUCCGUUUUUCACUUCACUGAAUAUAGAUUUAAGACUGCUGAUUCCUCCAGAUGAGUAAUUUAAGGCAACCAAUUGAGAAGACUUGUUACCUCUUCAAAUUUUGCAUCAAUCUAUGCCUCUGAAGUACUUUUUGCUCAAUGUUACUACCCGUCGCUUCCCUUCUUGUCCUCUUUACCCUCCAAACCAACAGGAAUAAGAGCGUGGAAAACUAGCAGAAACAGAGUUUUCGCACCAACCCUAGCCUUAGAAAUGUU
Molecule: unclassified non-coding RNA, 603 nt
Filed under: Hevea brasiliensis (rubber tree)
Lineage: Eukaryota; Viridiplantae; Streptophyta; Magnoliopsida; Malpighiales; Euphorbiaceae
Source: RNAcentral